This 656-nucleotide long non-coding RNA is filed under the name Rattus norvegicus (Norway rat). RNAcentral describes it as "long non-coding RNA NONRATT010396". Lineage: Eukaryota; Metazoa; Chordata; Mammalia; Rodentia; Muridae. The record is from RNAcentral.
AUGUCGGCUUCCGGUUUUCCCCGGCAGCGUCCUGCGUGGCUACCGGAGCCACGCCCACUUCCGGUUUCUUUGCUCCAGCAUGGCUGCCUUAGGGACCUGGCUAUCCAUAGGUGUCCGGAGGUUGCACAGUAGUGCAGUGGCGCGGGCCGGCAGCCAGUGGCGACUCCAGCAAGGGCUGGCUGCCAAUCCUUCCGGCUAUGGGCCCCUCACGGAGCUUCCUGACUGGUCUUUCGCGGAGACGAGUUGUGCUGCUGACACAGGAAAUGGAUGCAGGAUUACAGGCAUGGAAGCUCAGGCAGCAGAAACUGCAGGAAGAAAGGAAGCAGAAACAUGACCUUAAACCUAAAGGGACGUCACUGAGGAACCCACUUCCAAAUCAAUAAAAAGCUCCUGUCCCACUUUCCCAGCCUCUCUGGCUUCCUUUUCUACAUCUGAAUAUUUGUUUGUUUGUUUGUUUUCUUUUUUCUUUUUUUCGGAGCUGGGGACCGAACCCAGGCCCUUGCGCUUCCUAGGCAAGCGCUCUACCACUGAGCUAAAUCCCCAACCCCACAUCUGAAUGUUUUAUCCCUGGUAGACCGAAGUCAUUUUUCUCCCGCCAUUUGUAUUGAUAGCAAAAGACCUCAGGCACCGGGAGGAACUUAAAACCACUGCCUGCC